Molecule: unclassified non-coding RNA, 256 nt
Filed under: Hevea brasiliensis (rubber tree)
Lineage: Eukaryota; Viridiplantae; Streptophyta; Magnoliopsida; Malpighiales; Euphorbiaceae
Source: RNAcentral
UACAAGGACAAGCGUCUGGUCAACUGGGACCCGAAGCUGCUGACCGCGAUCUCCGAUCUCGAAGUGCAGCAGAUCGAGGUCAAGGGCAGCCUCUGGCAUCUGCGCUAUCCGCUGGAAGGCAAGGAGUUCAAUCCCGAGNGCAUCCACGUUCAUCGUGGUCGCGACCACGCGGCCUGAAACCAUGCUUGGCGACACGGCUGUCGCCGUGAAUCCCGAUGACGAGCGCUACAGGCAUCUGGUCGGCAAGCACGCCGUG